UCUCAAACCUUAUGGGCCUUAGUGGGAACUUACUCCAGCCCACUAGAGGCUGGUUUAUCUCUUCCCAUAGCACAUGAGACCCCUUGGGGCGUGACACCCCUCCCUAUGGUCCCCGGCAUCCCUCCCGGCACUCCCGGUACACUAUCGAUGAGCCCAAAACUUUUCCGGUGACCAUAACAGGACUUCCUAUAUAUCAAUCUUUACCUCCGGACCAUUCGGAGCUCCUCGUGACGUCCUGGAUCUCAUCUGGGACUUCGAACAACUUUCGAUUACCAACACCUAUA
Molecule: long non-coding RNA, 284 nt
Filed under: Hordeum vulgare
Lineage: Eukaryota; Viridiplantae; Streptophyta; Magnoliopsida; Poales; Poaceae
Description: long non-coding RNA (HVUL_LNC019272)
Source: RNAcentral